UUUCCGUAGGUGAACCUGCGGAAGGAUCAUUAAAGAGUAAGGGUCUUCGGGCCCGAUCUCCAACCCUUUGUUUAACUACCAUGUUGCUUUGGCGGGCCCGUCUCACGACCGCCGGAAGUUUGGCUUCGACCAAACUUCUGGCCCGUGCCCGUCAGUGGCCCCUUCAAAUUCUUGAUCAAGUAUGAUGUCUUAGUUAAAAACUUAAUAGUUAAAACUUUCGACAACGGAUCUCUUGGUUCUG
Molecule: unclassified non-coding RNA, 241 nt
Filed under: plant metagenome
Description: partial contains small subunit ribosomal RNA, internal transcribed spacer 1, and 5.8S ribosomal RNA
Source: RNAcentral